CGCGUGUGUGCAGAAGGCUUUCGGGUUGUAAAGCACUUUCAGUGAGGAAGAACGCCUUCGGGUUAAUACCCUGGAGGAAAGACAUCACUCACAGAAGAAGCACCGGCUAACUCCGUGCCAGCAGCCGCGGUAAUACGGAGGGUGCGAGCGUUAAUCGGAAUUACUGGGCGUAAAGCGCGCGUAGGUGGCUUGAUAAGCCGGUUGUGAAAGCCCCGGGCUCAACCUGGGAACGGCAUCCGGAACUGUCAGGCUAGAGUGCAGGAGAGGAAGGUAGAAUUCCCGGUGUAGCGGUGAAAUGCGUAGAGAUCGGGAGGAAUACCAGUGGCGAAGGCGGCCUUCUGGACUGACACUGACACUGAGGUGCGAAAGCGUGGGUAGCAAACAGGAUUAGAUACCCUGGUAGUCCACGCCGUAAACGAUGUCGACUAGCCGUUGGGGUCCUUGAGACCUUUGUGGCGCAGUUAACGCGAUAAGUCGACCGCCUGGGGAGUACGGCCGCAAGGUUAAAACUCAAAUGAAUUGACGGGGGCCCGCACAAGCGGUGGAGCAUGUGGUUUAAUUCGAUGCAACGCGAAGAACCUUACCUACCCUUGACAUCGAGAGAACUUUCCAGAGAUGGAUUGGUGCCUUCGGGAACUCUCAGACAGGUGCUGCAUGGCUGUCGUCAGCUCGUGUUGUGAAAUGUUGGGUUAAGUCCCGUAACGAGCGCAACCC
This 714-nucleotide ribosomal RNA is filed under the name Halomonas denitrificans. RNAcentral describes it as "bacterial SSU rRNA". It matches the Rfam family "Bacterial small subunit ribosomal RNA", at positions 398 to 1104 of the family's 1533-position model. The record is from RNAcentral. Lineage: Bacteria; Pseudomonadati; Pseudomonadota; Gammaproteobacteria; Oceanospirillales; Halomonadaceae.